AUUGAACGCUGGCGGCAUGCCUUACACAUGCAAGUCGAACGGUAACAGGUCUUCGGAUGCUGACGAGUGGCGAACGGGUGAGUAAUAUAUCGGAACGUGCCCAGUCGUGGGGGAUAACGCAGCGAAAGCUGUGCUAAUACCGCAUACGAUCUAUGGAUGAAAGCGGGGGAUCGCAAGACCUCGCGCGAUUGGAGCGGCCGAUAUCAGAUUAGGUAGUUGGUGGGGUAAAGGCCACCAAGCCAACGAUCUGUAGCUGGUCUGAGAGGACGACCAGCCACACUGGAACUGAGACACGGUCCAGACUCCUACGGGAGGCAGCAGUGGGGAAUUUUGGACAAUGGGCGCAAGCCUGAUCCAGCCAUGCCGCGUGCGGGAAGAAGGCCUCGGUUGUAACGCUUUGUCAGGAGAAUACUUCUGGUUAAUACUCGGGAGGAGUGACGGUACCGUGAAGAAUAAGUACCGGCGUAACUACGUAGCCAGCAGCCGAC
RNAcentral lists this ribosomal RNA (488 nucleotides) under uncultured bacterium. RNAcentral describes it as "bacterial SSU rRNA". It matches the Rfam family "Bacterial small subunit ribosomal RNA", at positions 30 to 518 of the family's 1533-position model. The record is from RNAcentral.